Aotus nancymaae (Ma's night monkey) is the source of this 100-nucleotide microRNA precursor. Lineage: Eukaryota; Metazoa; Chordata; Mammalia; Primates; Aotidae. The record is from Ensembl.
GAAGUGCUUGCCUAGACGAGACACAGUGCAUAAAAACAACUUUUGGGGGACAGGUAUGUUUUCUUGCAGCUGCGGUUGUAAGGUCUUGGCAAGACAAGCA